This 549-nucleotide ribosomal RNA is filed under the name uncultured bacterium. Its description in RNAcentral is "bacterial SSU rRNA". It matches the Rfam family "Bacterial small subunit ribosomal RNA", at positions 356 to 896 of the family's 1533-position model. The record is from RNAcentral.
GGGGAAUCUUCCGCAAUGGACGAAAGUCUGACGGAGCAACGCCGCGUGAGUGAUGACGGCCUUCGGGUUGUAAAGCUCUGUUAAUCGGGACGAAUGGUUCUUGUGCGAAUAGUGCGAGGAUUUGACGGUACCGGAAUAGAAAGCCACGGCUAACUACGUGCCAGCAGCCGCGGUAAUACGUAGGUGGCAAGCGUUGUCCGGAAUUAUUGGGCGUAAAGCGCGCGCAGGCGGAUUGGUCAGUCUGUCUUAAAAGUUCGGGGCUUAACCCCGUGAUGGGAUGGAAACUGCCAAUCUAGAGUAUCGGAGAGGAAAGUGGAAUUCCUAGUGUAGCGGUGAAAUGCGUAGAUAUUAGGAAGAACACCAGUGGCGAAGGCGACUUUCUGGACGAAAACUGACGCUGAGGCGCGAAAGCCAGGGGAGCGAACGGGAUUAGAUACCCCGGUAGUCCUGGCCGUAAACGAUGGGUACUAGGUGUAGGAGGUAUCGACCCCUUCUGUGCCGGAGUUAACGCAAUAAGUACCCCGCCUGGGGAGUACGGCCGCAAGGUUG